CGAUAAUCUGGUAACGCUGAUGCUGCCCCGAAGCAGUGAAGCAGUCAGGGCGGCGUAAGGGGCGUAACCAGACCCCUGCGGCCGGACUUGUCGAGUUUACGGUGUGAUAGUGAACGACUUGAUUGACGUAACUGAACAAGUGAACACUGACAAACGUGCUGCUAUCCGUGUGUCGUCUAUAAGCGUAAGACUGAAGCGCAGAGGCAGUUAAAUGAGGCUAUAGCUGGGCCUGAGGUGGAGGGACGCCAUCACCCCGCCCCGCCGACCCAAGGGACAGGCGAUCGAUAAGAAAACAACACAGACCUGUCCACCUCCUCCAUAGUCUGUCGGCCUGCCACCACUGCAGGUAAGUGGCUUAAAGGACUGGAGGGCUGCAUAGCUUGGGGACCACAGAGAGAGAGAGAAUGAGUGUCCUCUUAGUAGCUCUUCAAGUUGGAAAGGUUCAGAAAGAGACGGUGAGAGUGCGUCGAAACGUGAUGCUGAGGGGCGCAGUCAUAAUGGAAGCAAGCACGAUUUGGCUCAGUGCGAUGAAACUUCGUGCCAAUUAAAAGGUAUGUACACAAUUUAGUAUUUUCUUUUUAUUUUUUUAUCAAUUAUACGUUCACAUGUUUGCCCUUCCGUCCCUCUCUUGUCUUGUCCCUUUCCAUCCCUCUCCUGCACUUCCCAUCUCUUCGAUACGUUCCUCUCUCCUCUUCCCCUGACACUCAGUGACCUUCCUCCUUCCCUUCAUGUCACCCUCCAACAGCUCUCACUAUAAGCCCUCUCUGCCCCCCCUCACAACAGCCUAUUGCCAUCUUCCCUUGCCCACACUCCUCCCUCACUCCUCUUCAAUUCUUACCAUUUUCAUUCUCUUCGUCCCUCUCCCCAUCAUUUGUUUUCUAUCCUCUUUCUAUCCGUUGCCUCCUCUUUUGAUACUUUUCCCUCAAAUCUUACCUGUAUCUAUCCACCUGUCACCUGUCCUGCUAUCCAGCCACGUCCUGCACCUCUCCAACCUUUGACUGCUCCUCUAAGUACCUGCUCUUUUCUACCGCUACCUUGUCUCUUCCUUCACCCUUCUCUCCCUUCCUUCACCCUCAACA
Long non-coding RNA from Eriocheir sinensis (Chinese mitten crab), 1079 nucleotides. RefSeq lists it as uncharacterized. The record is from RefSeq and is a predicted model, not a curated record. The transcript is spliced from 5 exons. Lineage: Eukaryota; Metazoa; Arthropoda; Malacostraca; Decapoda; Varunidae.